CCAGUGGAUUGUCCUUUCCUUUCUUUUCUAUUAAUAUUUGGCAACUCCUAUCGAUCCCUUUUGAGUCAACACAGAUGUCACCCCAAAACCUUUACUGACUUACUCAAACAGAUUAAAUUUCCAAAGAGAGGCUGCAUGUGUCUCUCUUUGUAUCCAUUUUUAUGGUAGUUCUUAACCAUACUGUAUUACAAUUAUUUGUCGUCCCCGUACCCCAGAGAUUUCAAGAACAGGUACCAUAGCUAAUUUCAUUUUGUGUAUCCAACUUCUCUUGCACAGUGCUUCACAAAUAAUAAAUGAUGAAUACAUGUUUGUUGAGUUGAAUUUUGUAUCAUAUUUAAUUGUCAUGUAUUAUAAUGUGUAUUUUUUUUUCUAGAGGCGUGGAGCUAUUUCCUAUGACAGUUCUGAUCAGACUGCAUUAUACAUUCGUAUGCUAGCAUGAAGGAAUGGCCACAGGACAGGUGACUAGUCAUUGUGGGAUGGAAUUAUAGUCGAUGAAGUGAGCCUUGGAGGAAGUCAUGGUCCUACUCAGAGAAACAGAGAGAUGUACGUGUAAGGAGCCGAGCAGGAUUUGAAUCAGAAAGAAGAGGUUCUCACCCAUAUAUUGAUUUUCGUAUUUUCCACUGUAAGUGUUGGUAGACAUGAAGUUUCUCGGAUUUUCACUACAAAUUUUAAUAAAAUUACACAGUUUUCCAAGG
RNAcentral lists this long non-coding RNA (695 nucleotides) under Homo sapiens (human). RNAcentral describes it as "HSALNT0138036". The record is from RNAcentral. Lineage: Eukaryota; Metazoa; Chordata; Mammalia; Primates; Hominidae.